UUCAAUUCAUACGUUUUAAUAUGGAUCAAGAAACGACAAGUUUGCUCGAACAAAUCGCUAGAGUGGUCAAAGAAUGCGAGCAGAUAUUGGAAGGAACUGGCAUUGUAGAAGAUGAAGAAAGAUAUAGAUAUACUCUAUUUUACUGGAAAUGGAAAUGAAAACAAGCCUUUGAAAGUCGACAGUGAAGAUCCAAAGCAUUUUGGGGAAAAUUAGUUCGAAAUCUUCCAAUCAUCCUGAUUGACCAGGAAGGUAUUUACAUUGUUAUUGAAAAACAUAUUUUGAU
Molecule: long non-coding RNA, 283 nt
Organism: Dendronephthya gigantea
Lineage: Eukaryota; Metazoa; Cnidaria; Anthozoa; Malacalcyonacea; Nephtheidae
Exons: 3
Source: RefSeq, a predicted model, not a curated record